CGGUAAUACGGAGGGUGCGAGCGUUAAUCGGAAUUACUGGGCGUAAAGCGCAUGCAGGCGGCCCUGUUAAGUCAGAUGUGAAAGCCCGGGGCUUAACCUCGGAAUUGCAUUUGAAACUGGCAGGCUAGAGUCUUGUAGAGGGGGGUAGAAUUUCAGGUGUAGCGGUGAAAUGCGUAGAGAUCUGAAGGGAAUACCAGUGGCGAAGGCGGCCCCCCUGGACAAAGACUGACGCUCACGAUGCGAAAGCGUGGGGACGCAAACAGGAUUAGAUACCCUGGUAG
Molecule: ribosomal RNA, 281 nt
Filed under: uncultured bacterium
Lineage: Bacteria
Description: partial 16S ribosomal RNA
Rfam family: Bacterial small subunit ribosomal RNA
Source: RNAcentral